This 531-nucleotide ribosomal RNA is filed under the name uncultured bacterium. RNAcentral describes it as "bacterial SSU rRNA". It matches the Rfam family "Bacterial small subunit ribosomal RNA", at positions 772 to 1304 of the family's 1533-position model. The record is from RNAcentral.
ACCGAAUAGAUACCCGGGUAGUCCACGCCGUAAACUAUGAACGCUAGCCCGUUGGCGAGCUUGCUCGUCAGUGGCGCAGCUAACGCAUUAAGCGUUCCGCCUGGGGAGUACGGCCGCAAGGUUGAAACUCAAAGAAAUUGACGGGGGCCCGCACAAGCGGUGGAGCAUGUGGUUUAAUUCGACGCAACGCGCAGAACCUUACCAGGGUUUGACAUCCCGAGACCGCUGCUGAAAGGCAGUUUCCCGCAAGGGCUCGGAGACAGGUGCUGCAUGGCUGUCGUCAGUCGUGUCGUGAGAUGUUGGGUUAAGUCCCGCAACGAGCGCAACCCUCGCCUUUAGUUGCCAUCAUUAAGUUGGGCACUCUAGAGGGACCGCCGGCGACAAGCCGGAGGAAGGUGGGGAGUGACGUCAAGUCCUCAUGGCCCUUACACCCUGGGCUACACACGUGCUACAAUGGCGGUGACAGUGAGCAGCUAACUCGCGAGAGUAUGCUAAUCUACCAAAAACCGUACCCGACGUUCAGAUUGCACU